Molecule: long non-coding RNA, 1191 nt
Filed under: Salmo salar (Atlantic salmon)
Lineage: Eukaryota; Metazoa; Chordata; Actinopteri; Salmoniformes; Salmonidae
Description: lncRNA (ENSSSAG00000095181.1)
Source: RNAcentral
GGGAGAAAUUAGAAAUGUAGUUUUUGUUUUGAAUCCCUUGAAAAACUACAGUGACAUAGGAUUUACAUUGCACCUCCUAACUCUUCCAUUGGCUGUCAACAAUCUUUAGGGACUGGUUUCAACCGUCAUCUGUUACCGGGCAGAAAAUUAUGGCUCAGUCAAUCACUGGCCAGUCUGAGGAGAGGUGUCUUAUGACUCGCAUGCACGUGACUUUGUUGUUUUUUUAUUUUUCUUCUGGGAUGAAUACCUAUUGCCCGGUUGUAAAAGUAUCGCAAUUUUACGUAAAAAAAUACCCUAAAGGAUUGAUUGUAAACAUCGUUUGAUGUGUUUCUACAAACGGAAAUGGAACUUUGAACAUUUCGAAUAUGGAUUUGCGUCCACACCACAUGGCAUUGUAAAGUGUUCUGGAUGGGUCAACAAAACGGACGUAUUUGGACAUAAAUGAUGGACUUUGCAGAACAAAUGAACAUUUCUUGUGGAAGUGGGUGCCCAUCCGAGUGCAUUCCGCCAAAGACCAGCAAAGAACUGCUGUAUUAAUGUGGGGGAUCUGUAAGUAUCCUGUCAAGUCUCAUGUUGUUGAAACAAGGUAGGUUUAUGGAGUCCAGGUGAGUAGGGUAUAAAAUGUAUUUAAACAUGUCAGCAUCACAUGUAUUUCUUCAGUGUUAUUAGUGUCUUUAGUGUUAUUGUUUUUCUGGGUGAAUAAGGUUUGUAAAAAAAUAUCCUUGUGGUUGGGGGCUAAUGCCUAAAGUAUGGUAGGUAAAGGUGGUGUCAUCUCAUUGGGAAAAAUAGCAAGGUAAGUUUAUGAUACAACUGUGUUUUGACUAAGUUGAUCACAUAGUCCUCACAUAGUCCUCAGUCACACAAUUGUUAAUAAUGGGAUUUUCUCAAUGUCUUUUUUUAUAACAAACAUUCUAUCAAAGGUGCAGAAUGCACCAGUGGGCUAACUGGCAUAGCCUGCACAGGUGGGCUAACUGGCAUAGCCUGCACAGAUGAGCAGUGACAGUGGAAUGCAGGGACUCGGAGGAACCUUGAGCCAAAGCGGUUAAACAGCAUUGACUUCACACACCAUAAGGCCAGUAACCAAUAUGCAGAAAAGCGUCCAGAAUGUCCACCCCUGCCUCCCACUCCUGCAUUCCACUCACAGGAGGAAUUGAAUAGGAGCCUGAGACACCUGAAUCUGCCUGUGGGGAG